RNAcentral lists this ribosomal RNA (508 nucleotides) under uncultured bacterium. Its description in RNAcentral is "bacterial SSU rRNA". It matches the Rfam family "Bacterial small subunit ribosomal RNA", at positions 17 to 518 of the family's 1533-position model. The record is from RNAcentral.
UUAUGGCUCAGGAUGAACGCUAGCGGCAGGCUUAACACAUGCAAGUCGAGGGGCAUCGGGAGUAGCAAUACUCGCCGGCGACCGGCGCAAGGGUGCGUAACGCGUGAGCAACAUGCCCGUAUCAGGGGGAUAAUCCAUGGAAACGUGGUCUAAUACCCCAUAGUAAUUAUGUAAGGCAUCUUAUAUAAUUUAAAGCUUUGGUGGAUACGGAUUGGCUCGCGUGACAUUAGCUAGAUGGUAAGGUAACGGCUUACCAUGGCUACGAUGUCUAGGGGUUCUGAGAGGAAGGUCCCCCCACACUGGAACUGAGACACGGUCCAGACUCCUACGGGAGGCAGCAGUGAGGAAUAUUGGACAAUGGAUGGAAAUCUGAUCCAGCCAUGCCGCGUGCAGGAAAGACGGCCCUAUGGGUUGUAAACUGCUUUUGUAUGGGAGCAAUAAGGGCUACGCGUAGUCCGAUGAGAGUACCAUACGAAUAAGCACCGGCUAACUCCGUGCCAGCAGCAGC